UUAAUACGACCCACUAUAGGGCGAAUUGGGCCCGACGUCGCAUGCUCCCGGCCGCCAUGGCCGCGGGAUUCCUACGGGAGGCAGCAGUGGGGAAUAUUGCACAAUGGGCGCAAGCCUGAUGCAGCAACGCCGCGUGAGGGAUGACGGCCUUCGGGUUGUAAACCUCUUUUAGUAGGGAAGAAGCGAAAGUGACGGUACCUGCAGAAAAAGCACCGGCUAACUACGUGCCAGCAGCCGCGGUAAUAAUCACUAGUGCGGCCGCCUGCAGGUCGACCAUAUGGGAGAGCUCCCAACGCGUUGGAUGCAUAGCUUGAGUAUUCUAUAGUGCCACCUAAAUA
RNAcentral lists this ribosomal RNA (338 nucleotides) under uncultured bacterium. RNAcentral's name for it is "bacterial SSU rRNA". The stretch from base 1 to 261 matches the Rfam family "Bacterial small subunit ribosomal RNA", at positions 78 to 540 of the family's 1533-position model. The record is from RNAcentral.